RNAcentral lists this transfer RNA (63 nucleotides) under Xenopus laevis (African clawed frog). It matches the Rfam family "tRNA", at positions 6 to 65 of the family's 71-position model. From Rfam's summary of the family: Transfer RNA (tRNA) molecules are approximately 80 nucleotides in length. Their secondary structure includes four short double-helical elements and three loops (D, anti-codon, and T loops). The record is from Rfam by way of RNAcentral. Lineage: Eukaryota; Metazoa; Chordata; Amphibia; Anura; Pipidae.
UGUGGCUUAGUUGGUUAAAGCGCCUGUCUCGUAAACUGGAGAUCUUGAGUUUGACUCUCAGCA